Amphimedon queenslandica is the source of this 203-nucleotide long non-coding RNA. RefSeq lists it as uncharacterized. The transcript has 2 exons. Lineage: Eukaryota; Metazoa; Porifera; Demospongiae; Haplosclerida; Niphatidae. The record is from RefSeq and is a predicted model, not a curated record.
UACUGUAGAAUAAGAAAUUGUAUGAAGCUGCUGGAGAAGGGAACAUUAAUAGUGUUCAGUCAUUAUUAUCACAAGGAGCUAAUGUAACUUAUCAGGAUCAGGAUCAUUGGAAUGAAGACACUCCUCUUCAUAUUGCAGCAUUAAGAGGACAUAAUGAAGUUGUAUCAGUUUUAUUGUCUAAUGGUGCUGAUCCAAACAUUAAA